CAAAUGCUCCUACAAAAGACUGCAAUUUAGUAUUUAAAUUUCCAAUGGAGCUUAAAUACUACUGGUUUGAGAACAAAAAACAAACAAAAAAACACCCUGUGGUUAUUGCUUCUAUGUCCAGAGACUGAUUUUAUUGGAACUUCAGAUACCCUAUACACCUCUAUGGUUAUUUAGGAAUUUACCAUCUGUUUCAGCUGUGACUCUUUUGUCGUAUUUCUGGACUGUAUAGGUUGUGCUCUGCAACCUUUGUGCUAGACUGAAAAGUGCAGUAGUAACUGAAUAAUAAACUAGAAAUAAAAAUGUUCACAAAACUGUUACAAUGAUGACUCUUGGGUUUGUUUCUUAAAUCUUCAGUUCUGAGAUUGGGUAAAUUGACAGCAGCAGACAUAUAUAUAGUAAGUGAUACUCUUCCUGUAGUAAGUGAAAACUUUUGCACCUACUAUUUUUGAUUUGCAUCUGUUAUAGCUCUGAUUUGAUCUCUGAGAGUGUGUAUAUAUAUAUAUAUCAAUGAUCCAUAGGCAUUUCCCUUCUGAGUCAUUUUCCUUGAGUGUCUGCGCUGGUGGUAUCACAGGCCAUCUCCAUGGAAACAACUAUGAUACUACAAUGAGUGACUUGUGACAUCACUAAGUGAAUCCACCAAGAGAAGGAGUGUUUGUGAACAGAAAGGAAACUUCUAUAAAAAACAAUUUAGUAAAUUAAAGCAAGAAAUGCAUAAUAAUGGCUAGUAGUAGAUCUAUGUAAUAGUGUUAUAGGGCUCUUUUUCUAUCAAGAGAGUGAAAUUUUUUAAAGUUUGUUGGAAUAUGAUAGCAGCUCUUUACAUUAAAACACUGUCAAUCUCUUCCAGCUGACAGUGUGAGCAUAUUUAAAUUGCUUUACAGCUACAGUACCAUAUGUUGCAGUGAGUAUGAAGAUGCAAAAUUCUCCAUAGUAAAUAUUCUCUACCUUAAGGUGCCAGAACACCCAAGACAGUCCAGAAGAGAAUUAUUGGAUUGCUUUUUGCUUAUGGCUGCAUCCUUCAGCCUAUUCCAGGAGAUGUAACCCAUCCUUUUUAGUUGAAGCUGCAGAGAAGGUAUGUGUCCACCAGAAGGAAGGCAAUGCCCUUUAGGGAUUAUUGGAAUACAGGGAAUGUUGCUGUGGGAUCCCAUUAUGCAAAUUCUGGUGGUGAGGUGAGUGCAUGCAAAGAAAAGCAAUGAAGCUGGCGAAGGGUCUAGAGAAAAAGUUUCAUGGAGAGCAGAGGAGACAUCUGGAGUUGUUUAGCUUGGAGAAUAGGAGGCUCAAGUGAGACCUUAGUACUCUCUACAGCUCCCUGAAAGGAGGGUGUAGUGAGGAGGGUUCCUUCUCUUCCCUGAGUCCAUAGCAGACCAGGAAAACUAUAGGAAGCGUGCUUCCCUUGAACCCCUUCAUACUAACUCUGCUAGGUGGAGCCAGGUA
This 1431-nucleotide long non-coding RNA is filed under the name Cyanistes caeruleus (blue tit). RNAcentral describes it as "lncRNA (ENSCCEG00000010548.1)". Lineage: Eukaryota; Metazoa; Chordata; Aves; Passeriformes; Paridae. The record is from RNAcentral.